AUGGACCAAUCCAUUCCUUUUUCCCGUGCAUAUGCAUCAGACUCGGAUGACGAUGGUCCCGAUGAAAAAGUUGAUGAGGAUGAGUUCACGCCGAAGGAGGCCCAAUCAUUCAAGAAGGUAUUCAAGCGGGAUCACAAGACACCAUUGUUCAAGGAUCUUAGUCUCGCGGAUGAAGCCGUUGUGGAUGGUGGCAAAUGCAUAUCUCUUGGAGCUAGGCCAAGUUCUCACCGUGAUUUGAAAGACGGCAAGAACAGGAUAUAUCCCGGUUGUGAGUUUCAAUACUUCUUAAAAUUGAAGAUGUGGCUCGACAACUACUCGGUUACACAUUAUUGUCCACAUAAAGUGGCCAACUCGGACGUCAAUGUGCGUUACACGGUCAAAUGUGAAGUGCCAAGAUGUUCAUGGAUUGUGCAUGCAAGGCCAUGA
RNAcentral lists this ribosomal RNA (426 nucleotides) under Triticum aestivum (bread wheat). RNAcentral's name for it is "partial small subunit ribosomal RNA". Lineage: Eukaryota; Viridiplantae; Streptophyta; Magnoliopsida; Poales; Poaceae. The record is from RNAcentral.